UACGAAGGGGGCUAGCGUUGCUCGGAAUCACUGGGCGUAAAGGGUGCGUAGGCGGGUCUUUAAGUCAGGGGUGAAAUCCUGGAGCUCAACUCCAGAACUGCCUUUGAUACUGAAGAUCUUGAGUUCGGGAGAGGUGAGUGGAACUGCGAGUGUAGAGGUGAAAUGCGUAGAUAUCUGGAGGAACACCGGUGGCGAAGGCGACAUCCUGGACCGGUAUUGACGCUGAGGCGCGAAAGCCAGGGGAGCAAACGGG
RNAcentral lists this ribosomal RNA (253 nucleotides) under uncultured bacterium. Its description in RNAcentral is "partial 16S ribosomal RNA". It matches the Rfam family "Bacterial small subunit ribosomal RNA", at positions 524 to 776 of the family's 1533-position model. The record is from RNAcentral.